Molecule: ribosomal RNA, 450 nt
Filed under: uncultured bacterium
Lineage: Bacteria
Description: bacterial SSU rRNA
Rfam family: Bacterial small subunit ribosomal RNA
Source: RNAcentral
GUGAGGAAUAUUGGGCAAUGGGCGAAAGCCUGACCCAGCCACGCCGCGUGAGUGAUGAAGGCCUUCGGGUUGUAAAGCUCUGUGGGGAGGGAAGAAAAAGCGGGAGAGUAACUGCUCUCGUGUUGACGGUACCUCCUUAGCAAGCACCGGCUAACUCUGUGCCAGCAGCCGCGGUAAUACAGAGGGUGCAAACGUUGCUCGGAAUUACUGGGCGUAAAGCGCGUGUAGGCUGACAUGCAAGUCGGGUGUGAAAUCCCAGGGCUCAACCUUGGAACUGCACUCGAAACUGCACGUCUUGAGUACUGGAGAGGGAAGCGGAAUUCCGGGUGUAGAGGUGAAAUUCGUAGAUAUCCGGAGGAACACCAGUGGCGAAGGCGGCUUCCUGGACAGUAACUGACGCUGAGACGCGAAAGCGUGGGGAGCAAACAGGAUUAGAAACCCCUGUAGUCC